UACGAAGGGGGCUAGCGUUGCUCGGAAUUACUGGGCGUAAAGGGCGCGUAGGCGGCACUGUUAGUCAGGCGUGAAAUUCCUGGGCUCAACCUGGGGACUGCGCUUGAUACGGCAGAGCUUGAGGAUGGAAGAGGGUCGCGGAAUUCCCAGUGUAGAGGUAAAAUUCGUAGAUAUUGGGAAGAACACCGGUGGCGAAGGCGGCGACCUGGUCCAUUACUGACGCUGAGGCGCGACAGCGUGGGGAGCAAACAGG
RNAcentral lists this ribosomal RNA (253 nucleotides) under uncultured bacterium. RNAcentral's name for it is "partial 16S ribosomal RNA". It matches the Rfam family "Bacterial small subunit ribosomal RNA", at positions 524 to 776 of the family's 1533-position model. The record is from RNAcentral.